This 199-nucleotide long non-coding RNA is filed under the name Lathyrus oleraceus (garden pea). RNAcentral describes it as "Pisum sativum (pea) long non-coding RNA (PSAT_LNC014760)". Lineage: Eukaryota; Viridiplantae; Streptophyta; Magnoliopsida; Fabales; Fabaceae. The record is from RNAcentral.
CAGGAGCUUUUGGAGCACGAAUAUGUAGAGCAUUUGAGCUAUUUGAAAGCAUUUUUUUCAUUGAUUUCAAUGAUGAAUUAUUAUCAACUCAUGGUAAUUGUUAUUGUCACUAUGAGUAGCUAAAUAUUUCAGAUUUGAUCUUUUGAGAUGAAUCCAAUUGUACUUUGUUAGCUCAUAUGACUAUUUGAUAUAAUUUGAG